Molecule: ribosomal RNA, 477 nt
Filed under: uncultured bacterium
Lineage: Bacteria
Description: bacterial SSU rRNA
Rfam family: Bacterial small subunit ribosomal RNA
Source: RNAcentral
UUCGCAAUGCCCGAAAGGGUGACGAAGCGACGCCGCGUGCGGGAAGAAGGCCUUCGGGUUGUAAACCGCUGUCGGGAGUUAGGAAGUGCAAGGAUGUUAAUAGCGUUCUUGCUUGACUAAGGCUCCGGAGGAAGCCACGGCUAACUCUGUGCCAGCAGCCGCGGUAAUACAGAGGCGGCAAGCGUUGUUCGGAAUUAUUGGGCGUAAAGAGCACGUAGGCGGCUGUGUAAGUCGGUUGUGAAAGCCUUCCGCUUAACGGAAGAACGGCAUCCGAUACUGCAUAGCUUGAGUGCGGGAGGGGAGAGUGGAACUUCUGGUGGAGCGGUGAAAUGCGUAGAUAUCAGAAGGAACGCCGGCGGCGAAAGCGGCUCUCUGGCCCAUAACUGACGCUGAGUGUGCGAAAGCUAGGGGAGCAAACGGGAUUAGAUACCCCGGUAGUCCUAGCCGUAAACGAUGGGCACUAAGUAGAGGGGUUUU